This 379-nucleotide ribosomal RNA is filed under the name uncultured bacterium. RNAcentral's name for it is "bacterial SSU rRNA". It matches the Rfam family "Bacterial small subunit ribosomal RNA", at positions 362 to 758 of the family's 1533-position model. The record is from RNAcentral.
UAUUGGACAAUGGGCGAAAGCCUGAUCCAGCAAUGCCGCGUGAGUGAUGAAGGCCUUAGGGUUGUAAAGCUCUUUUACCCGGGAUGAUAAUGACAGUACCGUGAGAAUAAGCUCCGGCUAACUCCGUGCCAGCAGCCGCGGUAAUACGGAGGGAGCUAGCGUUGUUCGGAAUUACUGGGCGUAAAGCGCACGUAGGCGGCUUUGUAAGUUAGAGGUGAAAGCCUGGAGCUCAACUCCAGAAUUGCCUUUGAUACUGCAUCGCUUGAAUCCAGGAGAGGUGAGUGGAAUUCCGAGUGUAGAGGUGAAAUUCGUAGAUAUUCGGAAGAACACCAGUGGCGAAGGCGGCUCACUGGACUGGUAUUGACGCUGAGGUGCGAAA